Molecule: long non-coding RNA, 320 nt
Organism: Micropterus dolomieu (smallmouth bass)
Lineage: Eukaryota; Metazoa; Chordata; Actinopteri; Centrarchiformes; Centrarchidae
Exons: 2
Source: RefSeq, a predicted model, not a curated record
UGAUGAUUUUUUUAUUAUUUAUUGGACUUAUAUGUUUUUUCAGCAGACACCUCAUGCGUACUGCUACAUUUCACUCACACUUGAUAAUUGUUAUUGAUUGAUGCAUGUUCUCACAAUACCCCAUGUAAAAAAUUGUCUAUUUAAGAAGAAAAGUCCUUUUUUCUGAUCUUUUUUUCUUGUUUUCAACAGAUCAGGUCAUUAAGGAAACAGAUUUGAAUGAAACUGGAUGGAGUCACAGAUCAGGUCAUUAAGGAAACAGAUUUGAAUGAAACUGGAUGGAGUCACAGGUUUUAAACUACCAUCAAACGUUCCUAAGAUAA